AUCAGUAAGUGAUACAGCAACUCUGCCUACAUACAUGAUAAAGAACUUUAAUGCCAUAUGUGUGUGAUGGAAGCAAAAAAAUGAAAUAAAAAAUAUUGCAUCUGAACCAUAUUGAUACUAAAAGGGUAGGCACAAGCUUUGCUACAUUUACCACAAACGUGAUAUAGGGGGCGCGGCUUGCCUCACAUUGCAUAGUCGAAAGCUAAAUGAACAUCACAUUGACCGUCCCAAAGUUCACGUGAACGAAAAACUCUAAUCAAACUGGUUUUCCUAAGUAGAAACAUAAUUGUGCAUCCUUUCAUCAGUUCAACAGAGAUUAGAAAUGCAUAGACACUAAUGUAUACCUUUAAUUAAUCUUUAUAUUGCACGUUCUACCUAUGUGCAAAAGAACAGAUACCCCAUGAUAAAGAACACAAACCACGUGUGCAUCCACAAUUUCUAAUUAACCUUAAUUGGGGACAGUAUCCAAAAUAGUCGCAAAUUCACUUGCAAACUACCAUACACAAAAAAAAUCCAGAACUGUUUCCCACAAAUUCUAACACCUCAAGAAACAAAAAGGUAGAAGGAGAUGAAAAUGCAAGUGUUGAGAUUGUAUUCUUA
This 600-nucleotide long non-coding RNA is filed under the name Triticum aestivum (bread wheat). RNAcentral describes it as "long non-coding RNA (TAES_LNC018039)". The record is from RNAcentral. Lineage: Eukaryota; Viridiplantae; Streptophyta; Magnoliopsida; Poales; Poaceae.